This 700-nucleotide ribosomal RNA is filed under the name uncultured archaeon. RNAcentral's name for it is "bacterial SSU rRNA". It matches the Rfam family "Archaeal small subunit ribosomal RNA", at positions 46 to 706 of the family's 1478-position model. The record is from RNAcentral.
AAGCCAUGCGAGUCUAAAGGACUUCGGUCCUUGGCGGACGGCUCAGUAACACGUGGAGAAUCUGCCCUCAGGAGGGGGAUAACCCCGGGAAACUGGGAAUAAUACCCCAUAGGUCUAGGAUGCUGGAAUGCUUCUAGGCUGAAAGCUCCGGCGCCUGAGGAUGGCUCUGCGGCUUAUCAGGUUGUAGUGAGGGUAACGUCCUCACUAGCCUAUGACGGGUACGGGCCCUGAGAGGGGAAGCCCGGAGAUGGACUCUGAGACACGAGUUCAGGCCCUACGGGGCGCAGCAGGCGCGAAAACUCCGCAAUGCUCGAAAGAGUGACGGGGGGAUUCCAAGUGCCUACGCUCAGCGUAGGCUGUUCAGAUGCCUAAAAAGCAUCUGGAGUAAGGGCUGGGUAAGACGGGUGCCAUCUGUGGCAGCAGCCGAAAAUUUGGCUUGCUACUGCAAGGCAUAAGCCGCCGCGGUAAUACCCGCAGCUCGAGUGGUAGUCGAUUUUAUUGGGCCUAAAGCGUCCGUAUCCGGUCUGGUAAAUGCUUGGGUAAAUCGUCUGGCUUAACCAGAUGAAUUCCGGGUAGACUACCAGACUUGGGACCGGUUGAGGAAGAGGGUACUUCAGGGGUAGGAGUGAAAUCCUGUAAUCCUUGAAGGACCACCAGUGGCGAAGGCGCUCUUCUAGGACGGGUCCGACGGUGAGGGACG